AUCCAAAGCCCAUGCAGUCGCACAGAUUGUGUGAGUGAAGUCAUAGUGUUCUUUGCUUCUUUCUUCUGUUUCUGACCUCUGCAGAUGUAGAUGAAUGCUCAGAAAACAGAUGUCACCCUGCAGCUACCUGCUACAAUACUCCUGGUUCCUUCUCCUGCCGUUGUCAACCCGGAUAUUAUGGGGAUGGAUUUCAGUGCAUACCUGACUCCACCUCAAGCCAGACACCCUGUGAACAACAGCAGCGCCAUGCCCAGGCCCCCGACCAUCUGUGAGCGCUGGAGGGAAAACCUGCUGGAGCACUACGGUGGCACCCCCCGGGAUGACCAGUACGUGCCCCAGUGCGAUGACCUGGGCCACUUCAUCCCCCUGCAGUGCCACGGAAAGAGCGACUUCUGCUGGUGUGUGGACAAAGAUGGCAGAGAGGUGCAGGGCACCCGCUCCCAGCCAGGCACCACCCCUGCGUGUAUACCCACCGUCGCUCCACCCAUGGUCCGGCCCACGCCCCGGCCAGAUGUGACCCCUCCAUCUGUGGGCACCUUCCUGCUCUAUACUCAGGGCCAGCAGAUUGGCUACUUACCCCUCAAUGGC
This 588-nucleotide small RNA is filed under the name Pan troglodytes (chimpanzee). RNAcentral describes it as "retained intron". The record is from RNAcentral. Lineage: Eukaryota; Metazoa; Chordata; Mammalia; Primates; Hominidae.